Molecule: transfer RNA, 67 nt
Filed under: Lottia digitalis (California fingered limpet)
Lineage: Eukaryota; Metazoa; Mollusca; Gastropoda; Lottiidae
Description: tRNA-Ser
Rfam family: tRNA
About the family: Transfer RNA (tRNA) molecules are approximately 80 nucleotides in length.
Source: RNAcentral
UAGUAAAAGCCAAGAGGCAACAUUGCCUUGAAAGCAAUAGACGGGGGCUCAUUUCCCCCUUUACUAA